UUUCUUCUUAAAAACAGGCAACAAGAUCCUAUUAACCAGUGUCACUGCUUUUAAAUUGUUUUAUAUUGUUUUACACUUGUGCUUAUGUAUUAAUUAGUUUUAUUUUGUAACCAGGUUGCUGUGUAUCGCAGACUUUCUGCCCAGGUUCCUCUUUAAAAACAGAUCCAGAUCUCAUUGGGUUUACCUGCUUAAAUAAAAUAAAGGACAUUGAAAUCUCAACCCAUAAUCAGAGCAGAUAUUCAGUAAAACCAGCACUGCUGGGUCAGAGGUCAGAGGUCAUCAGCUUCCAUAAAGUGAUUGACCAGAGUGUCACCGAUCAAACAUCCAGUUUACAGAGGUUCAUUUCUUUUGACAGGUCGUCCAGGUCCAAGUUAAACAAGGCAGGAAGAAGCGAACCCUGACGCUCAGCGUUACUCACAGCAAAGGAAGCAGAGAAGUUAUUGAUGGUAGAAAUACAGAAAUCAGUUCCCAACUUGGCUUUGACACCAAACUGAUUGAUCAGCUUCAACAUGGAUUCAAUGUUUCAAUGUUGUUUCACUGAUAUGGUGUUAUCUGGGUAAUCUCUCUUUACUCAGGACAUUCAGCUCUUACUCUGGCUAUGAAUUCAAUCUACAGAAAACAGCUUCUUUCAUUAACUAUCAACAAUCACUAAGGAUUCAGAAAAUGUCCAGGUUUAAUUGAUAUAAAAAUCUAUCAGAUAUUUGGGAGUUUAAAUUCCUGCAGAGUUUUAAAAACCUUUUUGAAUUCAAUUCCACCCACUGACAGCAGAGAUUAGAGCAGAUCUACAGCAUUGGUCAUUAUUACCCAUAAAUCCACAUAAUCAGAUAUAAUAAAGAUCAACCUUUUACCAAGGAUUAUUUAUUUCAGGCUUUGCUUUACAGGAACCUGCCAAACUAUUCAAUGAUUGGGACAAAAUAAACACUAAUUUUAUCUGAGCUGAACAAAAAAGAAGAGAGUAAAAUUUCAGACACUAAAACUGUCAAAAGUAAAGGAUGGAUGGACUUUAAAACAUUUAGAGGAUUAUUAUAGAGCAGCACAGAUGAGAGUGAUAAUUGGUUGGUUUGACCCAACAUGUGGAGCUAAAUGAAACCAGAAAACUCUCCGCGAGUUUUUUUUAUUUUGACUGAGUCCAAAAUCUCCUAAAAACUACUCUGGGAUUUUUUGAUUUUUGGGAACUUAUCAUGUUGCCAGAGUAGCUUUAACAAUUACUGUUGGGAAGCUGGAGUUUUGGUUUCUGUGGGGCUGCUUUUCUUGUCUCUAGUUAUCCACUAGAUGGAGCCAGGAAGCUGUGUUGUCCAGAGGGCGGUCUCAGGUGUUCAGCCAUCACACCUGCAGCCUAUCUGUCAUCAGCCAGUGUUUAAGAGAAGCCUGUCACCAGUCCUUCGAUGCCUGAGUGUUGCCGUUCAUGGUUCUCAGCGGCUGUUACCUUUGUGCCUUAUGAGUUUUAUCGUUUCACCUCCAAGAUUCUUCAUAAAGAAACCCCUGGUUCAAAAAUCCCUACGACUGGUUCUUCUGGCUGUUCAAGUCUGUGCUACAACCUGUCCGCCCUCCAAUGAAGUACAACUAACAAACCCUCAUCGCCGCCCAUUCUCUCUGGAUCUCCUGGCUUCAGUUCCAACCCCACCUGGACCCGGCACUCACCCUAGAAACCAAGUUCCAGCACCAGCAGAAUACCUCCCCCUGGUGGAUCAGUUCCAUUUCACUAGUAAGGUCUCCUAUUAUUCUCUUUUUCACCUUCAGUACUACUUACUCACCUCUCAUCUACUCCAUCCUCAGAAUCCAGAUCUCCAGCUGUCCCAUACCCCGGGCAAAGAAGAUACAUUCAAACUCUUUUUACAAUAAACUUUAUUUAACUGACA
Xiphophorus maculatus (southern platyfish) is the source of this 1859-nucleotide long non-coding RNA. RefSeq lists it as uncharacterized. Lineage: Eukaryota; Metazoa; Chordata; Actinopteri; Cyprinodontiformes; Poeciliidae. The record is from RefSeq and is a predicted model, not a curated record. The transcript has 2 exons.